Oryctolagus cuniculus (rabbit) is the source of this 2017-nucleotide non-coding RNA. Lineage: Eukaryota; Metazoa; Chordata; Mammalia; Lagomorpha; Leporidae. The record is from RefSeq and is a predicted model, not a curated record.
AAAAUGCAGAAACGUUCUUGUUCGCUCAUAUCCGACUCACUUCCGCACACCAGUGUCACGCUGGGCCACGAACUCACGUUCAGCUUUCAGGCUGAACCAUUCCCACAGAGUGAGUCACCCACAACGGGCGGGUCAAGGGCAGGUGAAGCGGGAGUGCACGGCCUAAGACUUUCCUGAAGCGGCGGGAUUUUCCAAAUAGAAACCAACUGUGCGAGGACGCCUCCGCUCCGGAACUGAGUCCCGGGUCAUCCAGGGCCAAAGGGAAGCCAUUGUCUCUCACCUAGACCUCGCCUCCGCCGGGUGCGAAACGGCUUUCCCCGUCUCCCGGGCGACCGGCGCUGCACGUCGGCCUGACGUCAGGGCGCGGUGACGUCAUGGCCCACGCCUCUCGCCGACGCGGAACAGCGCUCCCCUACACUGCACUAGCGGAAGUGGGAGAGCUUGGUGGCGGGGUUCCGAGGAAAGAACUCUGCUUACGCUGAGUGCCGUAAGAGGGAGGGAAGGGGAGCUGGGGCGGCGAGGUGGGGGAGGGCAGAAGGCUUGGUAAAGGCUGCGGAGGUGGAGGGAGACGUCACAACCCUGCAGGGCGCUGGAGAGAGGCGCUGCCCCGCGCGCCGAGUCCUGGUCCUACCUCCCAUCCCUGCCAACACAGUAGUGGGCAGUAACUGAUCUUGAGCGGUGACAGAGAUGAGGUCAUGGGUGUAAAAGGAAGCACUGGUUUCACUCAUUACAACAAGUACAAAGUACUUGGAAAGCUUUGGUAAGAUUUUCAUCCUUCUUCAAAAAUAAUCAAAAUGAAGUACUUAGUUCACUUACACAUAACUGACUUUCAUUCAUUCAUUCAUUCAUUCAUUCAUAAAACAAGUAUUAACUGAUGAUGUACUGCGCCACAAGCACCGCAUACCAGCAUACGGUGAGGAUCUGUGACUAACCCAGACAGAAACAGCCCUUGUGACUCAUUCCGAAUCCAGAUCUCUCGCUUGUGAGGAUUGUAUAAGGUCCAAAAUGCGGGAACCAAAGGAAACAUUCAUGGCUCCCUCACAGGGAAAGACUCAUUACCACUGAAUAAAAUGAGAUUGAAUAUGAAGACAGUUAAUGAAACCCUUCGUUGUGGAGACGUGAUUAAAUGAUGCAGAGCAGUACUGGUACAAUACUCAAACUGCCAACUGAGGGCUGUUUGUUAAUGAAUAUGACAACGUGAUGUAUUUCCUAAAGCCUGUGUUCAGGGCAGUACUACUCUGGGAGCUAGAUGUGCCCUGUACACGUAAACUGACGUUUUUGCUGUGCCACCCACUGUUGAUUUUCUGUUCCCAGCCUCUAAAGAAGGUUCCUCAUCUGAGAAAGAGAAGCAGUACUCAAAGGAUUGAACAAAUGACUAAGCAGUACAGAGGACAGUCAACCCAGUGGGCAAGUACAGCAUGCUUAUGAGAACUUUCAGAACUACUCAUCUUCAUCUGUCUCCUUGAGGGUCAGUGAAGGCAGGAUUGUUCUCAUUUUGUAACAAUGGGGGUUUUAGAUACAGGACAAAUACAGAUGAUCUAAAUAUGUUGAGUGCCUUAUCUGUAACGGGAAUUGCACACCUAAAGCAAGAUCACUCUGUUCUGAGGCUAGUUUGCUUGUACAGUCAGGCAUUGCUUAACAACGGGGAGAAUUCAUUGUGUGAGCAUCAUAGAGUAUACUUACACAAACGUCGGCGCCAUAGCCUGCUGUGCACAUAGGCUAUAUGGUGUAUAUAUAGUAUGGCCUAUUGCUCCUAGGGCCGUGAUGAACAAAACAACAUGAGUUUAAAUCAGGCACCAGAGAAAGUGGUGCAAGCAAGAGAUGUGUAAGGCAGCUGCAGAUUAACACAGCGUACUACUGUUUACGAGAAGCUUUUGCAGAAUCCAGACCUCUUCACCUCUACCCUCUGCUGUAUUCCCCAACCACAAGUGAAUCAGCACAAAUCCUGGAGUUCAGAUAAGGUCAAUUCUGCUUCACUUCCUUCCUCUUUGCAGUGAUUAAAUCAGAAAUGAGUCUA